This 184-nucleotide non-coding RNA is filed under the name Polyangium sorediatum. RNAcentral's name for it is "6S RNA". It matches the Rfam family "6S / SsrS RNA". Rfam says of the family: E. coli 6S RNA was the first non coding RNA to be sequenced, but its function was unknown until recently. It consists of 184 nucleotides that fold into an extended hairpin structure with a large single-stranded internal bulge. The 6S RNA specifically associates with RNA polymerase holoenzyme containing the sigma70 specificity factor. The record is from RNAcentral. Lineage: Bacteria; Pseudomonadati; Myxococcota; Polyangiales; Polyangiaceae.
CCUCUGCUGUUGUCCGUGAGGUGAUUGGCAAUUGAAUCCCGAGUAAGCAUGAACCAGGGGCCCACAACGCUGUCGUGGUGAGCUAGGCCCGAGACGUCAUCGGGAAGCCUAAAGCGGCACAUCGGGUACCCACCUAGCCGCAAGCUAGGGGUUCAAGUCAUCAACCCACGAUUACGGCGGUAAG